AGGGGAAUGAAGUGGGGUGAUAUAUUUGCUUAACGUCUUCAGUUAUUACAAGACAAACCAAGGCAACGAAACAAAUCGAAAACUUGAGAGAGAUAGAGCGGAGAAAAUUAGAAAUAUUACAAGGGACAAGAAAUUAUACCUUUGAAAUAUAUAAUCAACUGUAAUGAGAUGGUUUUAUCCUCAAGCUAUGUAAAGAAUCUCCGAGACACGCAAUUAUACACCAAUGUGUUCUGUACUGUAAAAACCGCCACAAUAACUGGAUAAUUCGACGCGAUAUCAACACUGAAGGCGCUAUGGGUAUCACGCAGGUGGUAUCCGAUAUUGUUAUAUCAAAGUUAACGGAUGAAACAUCGGCAUUGAAAACUUUUGAGUUAACAACGUAGUCCAUAGCUCGGGAACGAAUAAAAACCAGCGACAUACAAACUUGUUCAAGCAAACUUACUCACACGCAUGCGCGUGCGUACACAUACAUUCACGCACACAUACACAAACACACGCAUACGCACAUCCUAAAUGCAAAGCUGUAUAUGAUGAUAUUCAUAUAAUUACAAACCAAAUUGUAAAUUUUCUAAUCCUAUACAUACAUUUAUAUAUAUAUAUAUAUAUAUAUAUUGAUAUAUAUACAUAAAUACAUGCAAUUAUGUGUCAUAGUUUUAGUCGUGAAGUAUUACAGAAGAUAUCGUGAUCGUUCGAAUAUGAUAAUAUAAUAAAACAUUAUAUCGUAUAAAUGAGAAAAUUGGACAACAUAAAAUCUGAAAGAAAGUAAAAAAACACAUUUAACCUUAUAAAACGAUAGAACACUGCUUGGGUAAUAAUAAUAGUAAUAAUAAUAAUAAUAAGAAGAAGAAGAAGAAG
This is a long non-coding RNA of Octopus sinensis (East Asian common octopus), 855 nucleotides long. RefSeq lists it as uncharacterized. The record is from RefSeq and is a predicted model, not a curated record. NCBI's taxonomy places the organism in Eukaryota, Metazoa, Mollusca, Cephalopoda, Octopoda, Octopodidae. The transcript is spliced from 3 exons.